UGGACAAGUUAUUGUAUUCGACUGUAUUCACGGCGUGAAACAUGGGAUUACACUGUUUUUAAACGGAAAGUGAAUCAAUUAACAUAAUAGACUCCU
MicroRNA precursor from Nicotiana attenuata, 96 nucleotides. It matches the Rfam family "MIR6152 microRNA precursor family". Lineage: Eukaryota; Viridiplantae; Streptophyta; Magnoliopsida; Solanales; Solanaceae. The record is from Rfam.